CUGGCUCAGGAUGAACGCUGGCGGCGUGCCUAAUACAUGCAAGUCGAACGCUUUGUCUUUAACUGAUAUGACGAGCUUGCUCUGAUUUGAUUUUAUCUGACAAAGAGUGGCGAACGGGUGAGUAACACGUGGGUAACCUACCUCUUAGCAGGGGAUAACAUUUGGAAACAAGUGCUAAUACCGUAUAAUACCAACAACCGCAUGGUUGUUGGUUGAAAGAUGGUUCUGCUAUCACUAAGAGAUGGACCCGCGGUGCAUUAGCUAGUUGGUAAGGUAACGGCUUACCAAGGCAAUGAUGCAUAGCCGAGUUGAGAGACUGAUCGGCCACAAUGGGACUGAGACACGGCCCAUACUCCUACGGGAGGCAGCAGUAGGGAAUCUUCCACAAUGGGCGCAAGCCUGAUGGAGCAACGCCGCGUGUGUGAUGAAGGGUUUCGGCUCGUAAAACACUGUUAUAAGAGAAGAACGGCACUGAGAGUAACUGUUCAGUGUGUGACGGUAUCUUACCAGAAAGGAACGGCUAAAUACGUGCCAGCAGCCGCGGUAAUACGUAUGUUCCAAGCGUUAUCCGGAUUUAUUGGGCGUAAAGCGAGCGCAGACGGUUAUUUAAGUCUGAAGUGAAAGCCCUCAGCUCAACUGAGGAAUGGCUUUGGAAACUGGAUGACUUGAGUGCAGUAGAGGAAAGUGGAACUCCAUGUGUAGCGGUGAAAUGCGUAGAUAUAUGGAAGAACACCAGUGGCGAAGGCGGCUUUCUGGACUGUAACUGACGUUGAGGCUCGAAAGUGUGGGUAGCAAACAGGAUUAGAUACCCUGGUAGUCCACACCGUAAACGAUGAGUGCUAGAUGUUCGAGGGUUUCCGCCCUUGAGUGUCGCAGCUAACGCAUUAAGCACUCC
This 895-nucleotide ribosomal RNA is filed under the name Weissella paramesenteroides. RNAcentral describes it as "bacterial SSU rRNA". It matches the Rfam family "Bacterial small subunit ribosomal RNA", at positions 19 to 870 of the family's 1533-position model. The record is from RNAcentral. Lineage: Bacteria; Bacillati; Bacillota; Bacilli; Lactobacillales; Lactobacillaceae.